GAAAUAUUUUUUGAAAAGAAGGAAAAAAUUCAUGUCCAAACGGGCAAUAUCUUGGUUUCAGAAAGAAGUUGUCAUGCUUCUGCCACUUUGGCUGAACGCUCCUUUGAGAAAUACCAUCAUAACUAAGGUUGGAGGACAAGAUAUAUUCGUGAUAUGCAACAUAGUUGAACUGCAAUAAAGUGUCGUGCAAUCCAACAUAUCCAAGAGAAUACCUGCUGCAGCUGCAGCCCGUGGCCAUAUGGUUUGUUGAACAUUGGAGGCAUCUGCGGUUUCUCCCCACAUGCAUACUUCACCUCCAAGUACAAGAUUUUGCUCAGAGAUACUCUUUAUUCCUUCCAGUGGCUCUGCAUAAUAGACUUCCUCCCACGGGGCAUCUAAGUGAUCGAGAUACCAAUAACCCUGAUUGCUCCAAAUGCAUCUAA
This 422-nucleotide long non-coding RNA is filed under the name Solanum tuberosum (potato). RNAcentral's name for it is "long non-coding RNA (STUB_LNC006012)". Lineage: Eukaryota; Viridiplantae; Streptophyta; Magnoliopsida; Solanales; Solanaceae. The record is from RNAcentral.